AGAGUUUGAUCCUGGCUCAGGACGAACGCUGGCGGCGUGCUUAACACAUGCAAGUCGAACGAUGAUGCCCAGCUUGCUGGGCGGAUUAGUGGCGAACGGGUGAGUAAUACGUGAGUAACCUGCCCUUGACUCUGGGAUAAGCCUGGGAAACUGGGUCUAAUACUGGAUACUACCUCUUGCCGCAUGGUGGGUGGUGGAAAGGGUUUUACUGGUUUUGGAUGGGCUCACGGCCUAUCAGCUUGUUGGUGGGGUAAUGGCUCACCAAGGCGACGACGGGUAGCCGGCCUGAGAGGGUGACCGGCCACACUGGGACUGAGACACGGCCCAGACUCCUACGGGAGGCAGCAGUGGGGAAUAUUGCACAAUGGGCGGAAGCCUGAUGCAGCGACGCCGCGUGAGGGAUGACGGCCUUCGGGUUGUAAACCUCUUUCAGUAGGGAAGAAGCGAGAGUGACGGUACCUGCAGAAGAAGCGCCAGCUAACUACGUGCCAGCAGCCGCGGUAAUACGUAGGGCGCAAGCGUUGUCCGGAAUUAUUGGGCGUAAAGAGCUCGUAGGCGGUUUGUCGCGUCUGCUGUGAAAGCCCGGGGCUCAACCCCGGGUCUGCAGUGGGUACGGGCAGACUAGAGUGCAGUAGGGGAGACUGGAAUUCCUGGUGUAGCGGUGAAAUGCGCAGAUAUCAGGAGGAACACCGAUGGCGAAGGCAGGUCUCUGGGCUGUUACUGACGCUGAGGAGCGAAAGCAUGGGGAGCGAACAGGAUUAGAUACCCUGGUAGUCCAUGCCGUAAACGUUGGGCACUAGGUGUGGGGGACAUUCCACGUUUUCCGCGCCGUAGCUAACGCAUUAAGUGCCCCGCCUGGGGAGUACGGCCGCAAGGCUAAAACUCAAAGGAAUUGACGG
RNAcentral lists this ribosomal RNA (899 nucleotides) under uncultured bacterium. RNAcentral describes it as "bacterial SSU rRNA". It matches the Rfam family "Bacterial small subunit ribosomal RNA", at positions 8 to 916 of the family's 1533-position model. The record is from RNAcentral.